RNAcentral lists this long non-coding RNA (350 nucleotides) under Theobroma cacao (cacao). Its description in RNAcentral is "long non-coding RNA (TCAC_LNC001183)". The record is from RNAcentral. Lineage: Eukaryota; Viridiplantae; Streptophyta; Magnoliopsida; Malvales; Malvaceae.
UUUUUUAAUCUAAGUGUGAUUGUCCACUUGUUAAAUUUGUUCUAUUUAACGAAGUCCUAAAUUGAUUUUAGAUUCGUCUAAAGAACAAUAACCUGGUCUGUGAAAUUUUAGAGUUGGGUUCAAGAACAUAAUUACACAUGGGGAAGGAUUAGCACCCUCGUAACAUCCGUUCCACGAAAGGUAUCAUUUAAUCCCACGUUAUCUUAUUUAAACCUCAAUUUUUUUAAUUUUAUUUUUAUGUUUUCUUAUAUUUUUUAUUCUUAUUAUACAUUUAUUGUUUUUUUUCUAAUCUUUCUUUCUAAUUUAUUAUUUUAUUUUAUUUAUUUUAUUUUUAAAAACUUAAAUUUGAU